Molecule: ribosomal RNA, 304 nt
Filed under: uncultured bacterium
Lineage: Bacteria
Description: partial 16S ribosomal RNA
Rfam family: Bacterial small subunit ribosomal RNA
Source: RNAcentral
CAGCAGUAGCCGCGGGAAUACGGAGGAUCCAAGCGUUAUCCGGAAUCAUUGGGUUUAAAGGGUCCGUAGGCGGUCUUGUAAGUCAGUGGUGAAAGCCCAUCGCUCAACGGUGGAACGGCCAUUGAUACUGCAGGACUUGAAUUAUUGGGAAGUAACUAGAAUAUGUAGUGUAGCGGUGAAAUGCUUAGAGAUUACAUGGAAUACCAAUUGCGAAGGCAGGUUACUACCAAUUGAUUGACGCUGAUGGACGAAAGCGUGGGUAGCGAACAGGAUUAGAUACCCCCGUAGUCCCUGUCUCUUAUAC